This 372-nucleotide ribosomal RNA is filed under the name uncultured organism. RNAcentral's name for it is "partial 16S ribosomal RNA". It matches the Rfam family "Bacterial small subunit ribosomal RNA", at positions 527 to 896 of the family's 1533-position model. The record is from RNAcentral.
GGAGGGUGCAAGCGUUGUUCGGAAUUACUGGGCGUAAAGGGUGUGCAGGCGGUCUGCUAAGUCGGAUGUGAAAGCCCUUGGGCUCAACCAAGGAAGUGCAUUCGAAACUGGCGGACUAGAGUACGGGAGAGGAGAGCGGAAUUCCCAGUGUAGAGGUGAAAUUCGUUGAUAUUGGGAGGAACACCGGUGGCGAAAGCGGCUCUCUGGCCCAGUACUGACGCUGAGACACGAAAGCGUGGGGAGCAAACAGGAUUAGAUACCCUGGUAGUCCACGCUGUAAACGAUGAAUACUAGGUGUGGGAAGUGUUGACCCUUUCCGUGCCGCAGCUAACGCAUUAAGUAUUCCGCCUGGGGAUUACGGCCGCAAGGCUA